AGUGAACGCUGGCGGCGUGCUUAACACAUGCAAGUCGAACGAGAACGGAAUAUAGCUUGCUAUAUUUGUCAGCUAAGUGGCGCACGGGUGAGUAAUGUAUAGAUAACCUGCCCUUAAGAAAGGAAUAACAGUUGGAAACGACUGCUAAUGCCCUAUAUGCCUUUAAUACAUAAGUAUGCAAGGGAUACGCUUUAGUGCUUAAGGAUGGGUCUGUAUGGUAUCAGCUUGUUGGUGAGGUAAUGGCUCACCAAGGCUAUGACGCCUAACUGGUUUGAGAGGAUGAUCAGUCACACUGGAACUGAGACACGGUCCAGACUCCUACGGGAGGCAGCAGUGGGGAAUAUUGCACAAUGGACGAAAGUCUGAUGCAGCAACGCCGCGUGGAGGAUGACACAUUUCGGUGCGUAAACUCCUUUUAUAUAGGAAGAUAAUGACGGUACUAUAUGAAUAAGCACCGGCUAACUCCGUGCCAGCCGCCGCGGUAA
This 485-nucleotide ribosomal RNA is filed under the name uncultured bacterium. RNAcentral describes it as "partial 16S ribosomal RNA". It matches the Rfam family "Bacterial small subunit ribosomal RNA", at positions 29 to 523 of the family's 1533-position model. The record is from RNAcentral.